AUUGAACGCUGGCGGCAUGCCUUACACAUGCAAGUCGAACGGCAGCACGGGAGCAAUCCUGGUGGCGAGUGGCGAACGGGUGAGUAAUAUAUCGGAACGUGCCCAGUCGUGGGGGAUAACGUAGCGAAAGCUACGCUAAUACCGCAUACGAUCUACGGAUGAAAGCGGGGGAUCGCAAGACCUCGCGCGAUUGGAGCGGCCGAUAUCAGAUUAGGUAGUUGGUGAGGUAAAGGCUCACCAAGCCGACGAUCUGUAGCUGGUCUGAGAGGACGACCAGCCACACUGGGACUGAGACACGGCCCAGACUCCUACGGAGGCAGCAGUGGGGAAUUUUGGACAAUGGACGCAAGUCUGAUCCAGCCAUUCCGCGUGCAGGAUGAAGGCCCUCGGGUUGUAAACUGCUUUUGUACGGUAACGAAAGGUUUACUAUUAAUACUAG
RNAcentral lists this ribosomal RNA (439 nucleotides) under uncultured bacterium. RNAcentral's name for it is "bacterial SSU rRNA". It matches the Rfam family "Bacterial small subunit ribosomal RNA", at positions 30 to 470 of the family's 1533-position model. The record is from RNAcentral.